AGUGAACGCUGGCGGUAGGCCUAACACAUGCAAGUCGAACGGCAGCACAGUAAGAGCUUGCUCUUACGGGUGGCGAGUGGCGGACGGGUGAGGAAUACAUCGGAAUCUACUUUUUCGUGGGGGAUAACGUAGGGAAACUUACGCUAAUACCGCAUACGACCUACGGGUGAAAGCAGGGGAUCUUCGGACCUUGCGCGAUUGAAUGAGCCGAUGUCGGAUUAGCUAGUUGGCGGGGUAAAGGCCCACCAAGUCGACGAUCCGUAGCUAGUCUGAGAGGAUGGACAAGCAAACGAGGACUGAGAGAGUGAUCAGACUUCUUCGCGAGGCAGGAGGAGGGAAUAUUGGACAAUCGGCGCAAGCCUUAUCCAGGCAUACCGCGUGGGUGAAGAAGGGCUUAGGGUUGUAAAAGCCCUUUGAUGGGAAAAGAAAGCAUCGAGUUAAUCCCCCGGCGUUCUGACGGUACCCAAAGAAUAAGCACCGGCUAACUUCGUG
This 492-nucleotide ribosomal RNA is filed under the name uncultured bacterium. Its description in RNAcentral is "partial 16S ribosomal RNA". It matches the Rfam family "Bacterial small subunit ribosomal RNA", at positions 29 to 507 of the family's 1533-position model. The record is from RNAcentral.